This is a long non-coding RNA of Passer domesticus (house sparrow), 423 nucleotides long. RefSeq lists it as uncharacterized. The record is from RefSeq and is a predicted model, not a curated record. NCBI's taxonomy places the organism in Eukaryota, Metazoa, Chordata, Aves, Passeriformes, Passeridae. The transcript is spliced from 3 exons.
ACGGCCGCGUAGCAACGGACGCGGGAAGGGCCGCGGCCGGGCCAAAACCCACCAAUGGGAGCGGGAGGCGCGGGUGAGCUCGGCUCGGCUCGGCUCGGCUCGGCUCGGCUCGGCUCGGCCCGGCCCGGCUCGGCCCGGCCCGGCUCGGAGCAGGGGGCACUGGAACGUGUUCAGGUGGAAUCUCUGUCUCCAGACACAGAGACUUCUUGACCUCCCUGGGCAGCCUGUUCCAGUGCACUGGCACCUUCAACAUAAAGUUCUUCCUCGUGUUGAGGCCACUCCCAAAAUUUGCCCUAAACCAGGACAGCCACCUUGUUCUUGCCUUCAAAGUAGGAGAAUAAAGGAGGGAGAACAGCACUCACAGCAGCUUAGUCUGGAUUCAUGAGAGUUUUUUUCUUGGUCAACUAAUAAUCAUCCCCAAAG